Molecule: non-coding RNA, 277 nt
Filed under: Cajanus cajan (pigeon pea)
Lineage: Eukaryota; Viridiplantae; Streptophyta; Magnoliopsida; Fabales; Fabaceae
Description: Bacterial large subunit ribosomal RNA
Rfam family: Bacterial large subunit ribosomal RNA
Source: Rfam by way of RNAcentral
UUGAAAUACCACCCUGGUAAUAUUGAGGUUCUAACUCUGCUCCAUUAUCUGGAGCGAGGACCAUGUCUGGUGGGUAGUUUGACUGGGGCGGUCUCCUCCUAAAGAGUAACGGAGGAGUACGAAGGUGCGCUCAGCGUGGUCGGAAAUCACGCGUAGAGUAUAAAGGCAAAAGCGCGCUUAACUGCGAGACCCACAAGUCGAGCAGGUACGAAAGUAGGUCUUAGUGAUCCGGUGGUUCUGUAUGGAAGGGCCAUCGCUCAACGGAUAAAAGGUACUC